RNAcentral lists this ribosomal RNA (501 nucleotides) under uncultured bacterium. RNAcentral's name for it is "bacterial SSU rRNA". It matches the Rfam family "Bacterial small subunit ribosomal RNA", at positions 9 to 507 of the family's 1533-position model. The record is from RNAcentral.
GAGUUUGAUCCUGGCUCAGGAUUAACGCUGGCGGUAUGCCUAACACAUGCAAGUCGAACGGAAUACUAAUUAAGAGAAAUCUCACACUAGUGAGAGGUUCUCACGAGUAGUAUUUAGUGGCGGACGAGUGAGUAACACGUUGGAACCCUGCCCCGAAGUGGGGAAUAACUGCUCGAAAGAGUAGCUAAUACCCCAUAGUAUCCGGUUUAUCCGGAUUAAAGAUUUAUCGCUUCGGGAGGGGCCUGCGUCUGAUUAGCUAGUUGGUGAGGUAAAAGCUCACCAAGGCGACGAUCAGUAGCUGGUUCGAGAGGAUGACCAGCCACACUGGGACUGAGAUACGGCCCAGACUCCUACGGGAGGCAGCAGUGAGGAAUCUUCCACAAUGGGCGCAAGCCUGAUGGAGCAAUACCGCGUGCAGGAAGACGCUUUUCGGAGUGUAAACUGCUUUUGUCGUCGAAGAUUAUGACUGUAGACGAAGAAUAAGGACCGGCUAACUACGUG